AUUGUCCAAACGCAAUUCUUGUGUCUUUUCUGGUCCGAGCCCAAGAAUUGGGUCUGGGCAUCC
RNAcentral lists this microRNA precursor (63 nucleotides) under Microcaecilia unicolor. Its description in RNAcentral is "Mun-Mir-219-P3-v2_pre stem-loop". It matches the Rfam family "mir-219 microRNA precursor family", at positions 8 to 65 of the family's 79-position model. Rfam says of the family: The hairpin precursors (represented here) are predicted based on base pairing and cross-species conservation -- their extents are not known. In this case the mature sequence is excised from the 5' arm of the hairpin. The record is from RNAcentral. Lineage: Eukaryota; Metazoa; Chordata; Amphibia; Gymnophiona; Siphonopidae.